This 497-nucleotide ribosomal RNA is filed under the name uncultured bacterium. Its description in RNAcentral is "partial 16S ribosomal RNA". It matches the Rfam family "Bacterial small subunit ribosomal RNA", at positions 28 to 507 of the family's 1533-position model. The record is from RNAcentral.
GAUGAACGCUGGCGGUGUGCCUAACACAUGCAAGUCGAGCGAACAGACGAGGAGCUCGCUCUCCUGACGUUAGCGGCGGACGGGCGAGUAACACGUGGAUAACCUACUUAUAAGACUGGGAUAAUUUCGGGAAACCGGAGCCAAUACUGGAGAAUACAAUGAACCGCAGGGUGCAAGAGAGAAAGACGGCUUGGCCGAUACAUAGAGACGGAUCCGCGCCGCAUUAGCUAGUUGGUAAGGUAACGGCCUACCAAGGCGACGAUGCGUAGCCGACCUGAGAGGAUGAUCAGCCACACUGGAACUGAGACACGGUCCAGACUCCUACGGGAGGCAGCAGUGGGGAAUCUUCCGCAAAGGGCGAAAGCCUGACGGAGCAACGCCGCGUGAGUGAUGAAGGUCUUCGGGUCGUAAAGCUCUGUUGUUGGGGAAGAACAAAUGUAUAAGUAUCUAUGCACGUCUUGACGGUACCUAAUCAAAAAGCCCCGGCUAACUACGUG